UAAGUUUCUCUCUCUUCUUAGCAGACACAACUCGGACAAUCAGAAGAGAGAGAGAAAGAUAGAGACUGAUAUAGUCCCUGAUCCUACUGUGGUUCGUCCCCAACUAACUAUUUAUAUAGGGCCUUAAUUUGAAGUUUCUCUUUGUUUGUAAAUUGACCUUUCUUCGAUGAUCUAUAUAAAUUCGAUUCACGUUGGUAAUUAAGAUAUUUGAGCCCACUACUUUGUCUCACAAGCCUUAGUGAGGGACGUAACAUCAAUAGAUAUCUAUUCUUUAUUUAUGAAUACAACUUCCUUACUUUAUUAGAAUGAAUCUAGUGAAGACACGACUCGUACCUUCGUUUCU
Arabidopsis thaliana (thale cress) is the source of this 343-nucleotide long non-coding RNA. RefSeq annotates it as other RNA. Lineage: Eukaryota; Viridiplantae; Streptophyta; Magnoliopsida; Brassicales; Brassicaceae. The transcript has a single exon. The record is from RefSeq.